This is an RNA transcript of Coregonus clupeaformis (lake whitefish), 1165 nucleotides long. RefSeq lists it as uncharacterized. The transcript is spliced from 6 exons. The record is from RefSeq and is a predicted model, not a curated record. NCBI's taxonomy places the organism in Eukaryota, Metazoa, Chordata, Actinopteri, Salmoniformes, Salmonidae.
GAUUUACUCAUUAUUUCAUCAUGGACAACAGGCAGUGUAGCUACAGCUUUCAAUAACAGUGUUGUCCUGAAAACAGAUGCUGGUAUCUAUCGACACAGCUCUGUCUUCUGUGGCAAAAGCAGUCUGGACUGGUUGAAGCCAAGUGGAAAGGAUUUUUUUGGAAGUGUUUCAGUCUGCCGUGAAUCAUCAUAAUCCAUACACAGCCACCAGUACAAGGAGAUGAUUGAGGGUGAACAAGUAACACUUCAGCUUCAAUUGCCUGGAGCCUGGUGUUGUAGUGGCCAAGGAGCUUUCACUCAGAUGGACCCAGAUUUCAGCUGCUGUGCAAUGUUGACGUCCUUCCUCCCAGAGAUGUGAAAGCAUCUCCCGGACUUAACACAACCCGGCAAACAUAUAUUUUUGACAAGAUCAGGGCCCCUCAGCUUUUAACAAUGUCUGUGAUUGCUGGCUGGUCUAUUUAUGAAGGCUUGUUAACAAAUAUCCUACAAACACAGAAAAUGGAGAAAAAAAGGAAUCGCAAGCCGAACUGGACUGAGGAGCAAGGUUUGUUGCUGGCCCAGUUGGUGAACGAACAUAAAGGUAUGUUACGAGGAAAAUUUGGCCCAACUGUCACUAGCCAAGGCAAGAGGCGCGCCUGGGACACAAUAUCCCAAACAAUCAAUGCCUCUUUUCCACUGGUGGUGCGGACAGGCGACGAUUGUGAGAAAAGGUGGUAUGUGCUGCAGUCCAAGGCAAAAGAUGAGAUUGCAGCACACAAGCGGGAAUCCUCACUCACAGGGGGUGGACCACCUGCAAAGCGGCUGUCCCAGGUGGCCGACACUGUCUUUCAAGUCCUGGGACACUCUGAGGUCAGUGUCACCGGGCUGCCAACAGGCAUUGACACGUCAAUGAUGCAGGCCCUUGAAAUGCAGCAAAGCAUGGAGCCAUCACAAGAACCGGGCCCAUCAAGUUUGCCGCCUGAACCAUCUGCAGCUGCUACUCAGGAUAGCCCGGCGGAUCAAACACCAUUCCCAUCCGCAGCACCUGCUCCGUCAGCAUCCCUGCAGGAGAGAAGAUUGCAACUCACAAUUGAUGUGUUUGAACAACAAAAAAAAGUCCUUUCCCUUCAGGAGGAGUACUACCGCCUUAAAAUUGAACACCUAAAAAAUAAACCAUUUAGAGAUUG